GAUGAACGCUGGCGGCGUGCCUAAUACAUGCCAGUCGAGCGAACAGAUGAGGAGCUUGCUCCUCUGACGUUAGCGGCGGACGGGUGAGUAACACGUGGAUAACCUACCUAUAAGACUGGGAUAACUUCGGGAAACCGGAGCUAAUACCGGAUAAUAUAUUGAACCGCAUGGUUCAAUAGUGAAAGACGGUUUUGCUGUCACUUAUAGAUGGAUCCGCGCCGCAUUAGCUAGUUGGUAAGGUAACGGCUUACCAAGGCGACGAUGCGUAGCUGACCUGAGAGGGUGAUCGGCCACACUGGAACUGAGACACGGUCCAGACUCCUACGGGAGGCAGCAGUAGGGAAUCUUCCGCAAUGGGCGAAAGCCUGACGGAGCAACGCCGCGUGAGUGAUGAAGGUCUUCGGAUCGUAAAACUCUGUUAUUAGGGAAGAACAAAUGUGUAAGUAACUAUGCACGUCUUGACGGUACCUAAUCAGAAAGCCACGGCUAACUACGUG
Molecule: ribosomal RNA, 497 nt
Filed under: uncultured bacterium
Lineage: Bacteria
Description: partial 16S ribosomal RNA
Rfam family: Bacterial small subunit ribosomal RNA
Source: RNAcentral